ACGGAGGGUGCAAGCGUUGUCCGGAUUUAUUGGGUUUAAAGGGUGCGUAGGCGGUUUAUUAAGUCAGUGGUGAAAGACGGUCGCUCAACGAUUGCAGUGCCAUUGAUACUGGUAGACUUGAGUGAGAUUGAGGUAGCUGGAAUGGAUAGUGUAGCGGUGAAAUGCAUAGAUAUUAUCCAGAACACCGAUUGCGAAGGCAGGUUACUAAGUCUUAACUGACGCUGAGGCACGAAAGUGUGGGGAUCAAACAGGAUUAGAUACCCUGGUAGUCCACACUGUAAACGAUGAUGACUAACUGUUGGCUUUUGGGUCAGUGGUACAGAGAAAUCGUUAAGUCAUCCACCUGGGGAGUACGCCGGCAACGGUG
This 367-nucleotide ribosomal RNA is filed under the name uncultured bacterium. RNAcentral's name for it is "bacterial SSU rRNA". It matches the Rfam family "Bacterial small subunit ribosomal RNA", at positions 525 to 896 of the family's 1533-position model. The record is from RNAcentral.